UACUAGAGUAGCACUCCAUAUCAAUAAGCGGAGGAAAAGAAACUAACAAGGAUUCCCCUAGUAACGGCGAGUGAAGCGGGAAGAGCUCAAAUUUGAAAUCUUAAAGGGUUUCCCUUUACGAAUUGUAGUUUAAAGAAGUGUUUUCUGUUGAGGUUUUGGUAAAAGUUCUUUGGAAUAGGACAUCAUAGAGGGUGAGAAUCCCGUAUUUGACCUUUACUUUCAACUUUGUGAUACACUUUCAAAGAGUCGGAUUGUUUGGGAAUGCAGUCCGAAAAUGGGUGGUAAAUUUCAUCUAAAGCUAAAUAUUGGCGAGAGACCGAUAGCGAACAAGUACCGUGAGGGAAAGAUGAAAAGAACUUUUGAAAAGAGAGUUAAACAGUACGUGAAAUUGUCAAAAGGGAAGCGUUUGACACCAGUGUUGUUUUUCUGAAAAUCAAUUAAAGAACUGUUUAUGCUAAGUUGUUUAGACUUUAUCAGCUAAUCUGUUUAGUUUUAGGCUUUUCUUUAAUGCACUUUUCAGUUAACAAGUCAACAUCAAUUUCUUUUGCUGUAAAAAAGCUUGAGGAAGGUGGCUUGAGAUUCGUCUUAAGUGUUUAUAGCCUCUUGCCUAUGCAGUCGGAGAGAUUGAGGUCUGCAGCGUAGAUCCUUCGGGGCUAAAUGCAUUUGUGCUAAGUUAUAGCAUUUUAUAGACAACUUGUUGACUAUGAUUUGUCUUGUAGCUUACUCGCUUAUGUUAUUUUACCUACGCUUAGGAUGUUGAGCGCAUGUCUCUCUCU
Molecule: ribosomal RNA, 776 nt
Filed under: uncultured Neocallimastigales
Lineage: Eukaryota; Fungi; Neocallimastigomycota; Neocallimastigomycetes; Neocallimastigales
Description: partial large subunit ribosomal RNA
Rfam family: Eukaryotic large subunit ribosomal RNA
Source: RNAcentral